UACGUAGGGUGCAAGCGUUAAUCGGAAUUACUGGGCGUAAAGCGUGCGCAGGCGGUCCCAUAAGACAGAUGUGAAAUCCCCGGGCUCAACCUGGGAACUGCAUUUGUGACUGUGGGGCUAGAGUACGGUAGAGGGGGAUGGAAUUCCGCGUGUAGCAGUGAAAUGCGUAGAUAUGCGGAGGAACACCGAUGGCGAAGGCAAUCCCCUGGACCUGUACUGACGCUCAUGCACGAAAGCGUGGGGAGCAAACAGGAUUAGAUACCCUGGUAGUCCACGCCCUAAACGAUGUCAACUGGUUGUUGGGAAGGUUCCUUCUCAGUAACGUAGCUAACGCGUGAAGUUGACCGCCUGGGGAGUACGGCCGCAAGGUUG
Molecule: ribosomal RNA, 372 nt
Filed under: uncultured prokaryote
Description: bacterial SSU rRNA
Rfam family: Bacterial small subunit ribosomal RNA
Source: RNAcentral